CAGGGGCUGCUUAUUGAACUGUCAGAUAUUUUUCAGCACUACAGAUACCAACAGGUCUUUUAAGAGCUCCCUUAAUCAGCUUGUAGGUCAGUUACCAUGACAACCUGAUCUCUCGUGGACAUGGUGCUUCAUGGAGAGGAAGAUGAUCACCUGCCCUCAGCGGGUCGUCAACACAUCUCUCAGAGAUACACAGUACAGCAAAGCACCUUUGUGUGUACAUCAUUAUGCCUUAAUUAAUGUCAGCUUCCUGUACUUUAAAUGUACAUACAUUAGCAUAUAUCACACAUGCUGAGCUGAAUGCACAAGGUCGACUCCUAUUGCCUACUAUCGACUGACUUCCCUCCAGAAGGAUUCUUUGAUGAAAAGGGAGCGGGCAGCAUGUCACAGCUGCUGCUUGACCUUUGGAUUGUGGCAACACCGAGCCAGCAUUCCAAACACGAAAUAUGAACAUUCUCAUGUCUGGAAUUAGAAGUCAGACGUUAGACUAGUAGGCACUUUCCAUGAAUAGGGUACAAACACAGUGCCUGAAAUGCUUGGAAAAAUGUGAAAGUCAUUGUUCAGGAGGUACUUAACCUUGAGAAGAUGAUGAUUGUCAACCUCAGGAGGUCAAACCAAAUUUUAUAUGAGCUGUUUUAUUUUAUAUUCAUCUUGCAUGACAUUUGCGGUUUGUGCAAUCCUGUUACUAAACCCUAAUUUGUUUGAUUUCAGUUUUAAAUAAAAUAAGAAAUAAAUGAAA
This is a long non-coding RNA of Carassius carassius (crucian carp), 736 nucleotides long. RefSeq lists it as uncharacterized. The record is from RefSeq and is a predicted model, not a curated record. NCBI's taxonomy places the organism in Eukaryota, Metazoa, Chordata, Actinopteri, Cypriniformes, Cyprinidae. The transcript is spliced from 3 exons.